RNAcentral lists this transfer RNA (72 nucleotides) under Phalera assimilis. RNAcentral describes it as "tRNA-Asp". Lineage: Eukaryota; Metazoa; Arthropoda; Insecta; Lepidoptera; Notodontidae. The record is from RNAcentral.
AAAAGAUUAGUUAAAUUUUAUAUAACAUAAAUAUGUCAAAUUUAAAUUAUUACCUAAAAGUAAUAUCUUUUU